UCAUACAAUUUUUUCAUCCAUCCGUCUACACAUAUCUCAAAGCAAUCGUAGCUCGACAUGGCGGUUGAAGUCGCCAAAGAGGGUGAAUCAUUCUUCUGCGAUAAAGAUACGAACCCGAACCGGAAACAGAGGCAGCACAGCACAUGCGAUGCCCACCAACCUGAUAGUUAGCGACGUGGACUCAAUCAUGUUCGCCCAUUCAAUGAAUCCUACAUCCAUAACACAUCUUGAUGGCU
Molecule: long non-coding RNA, 236 nt
Filed under: Elaeis guineensis (African oil palm)
Lineage: Eukaryota; Viridiplantae; Streptophyta; Magnoliopsida; Arecales; Arecaceae
Description: long non-coding RNA (EGUI_LNC009824)
Source: RNAcentral